CCCUUAGAUGUCCUGGGCCGCACGCGCGUUACACUGAUGCAUUCAACGAGCUUAUAACCUUGGCCGAGAGGCCUGGGCAAUCUUGUUAACGUGCAUCGUGAUAGGGAUAGAUUAUUGAAAUUAUUAAUCUUGAACGAGGAAUUCCUAGUAAACGCAGAUCAUCAAUCUGCAUUGAUUACGUCCCUGCCCUUUGUACACACCGCCCGUCGCACCUACCGAUUGGAUGGUCCGGUGAAGCCUCGGGAUUGUGGUUCUUGCCGCUUUAUUGUGGCGUGACCGCGAGAACUUGUCUAAACCUUAUCAUCUAGAGGAAGGUGAAGUCGUAACA
Molecule: ribosomal RNA, 328 nt
Filed under: uncultured eukaryote
Lineage: Eukaryota
Description: partial 18S ribosomal RNA
Rfam family: Eukaryotic small subunit ribosomal RNA
Source: RNAcentral